AGUGGGAUGAAUGAUCGCUGCUUUGUCCGCAAGGGCAUUGGAGAGGAAAGUCCGGGCUUCGCAGGGCAGGAUGCCGGAUAACGUCCGGUGGGGGUGACCCUAAGGAUAGUGCAACAGAAAAGAAACCGCCGCGUAAGCGGUAAGGGUGGAAUGGCAGUGUAAGAGACUACCGCAUGUCUGGUAACAGAUAUGGCUGUGUAAACCCCAUCCGAAGCAAGACCAAGCAGAAAGCGUUUGAGCCGGCCCGGUUAGCUUUCAGGUAGGUUGCUUGAGGGAUAUGGCAACAUAUCUCCUAGAUAGAUGAUCAUUCACGACAGAACCCGGCUUACAGUCCCACUCGA
RNAcentral lists this RNase P RNA (341 nucleotides) under bovine gut metagenome. RNAcentral describes it as "Bacterial RNase P class A". It matches the Rfam family "Bacterial RNase P class A". From Rfam's summary of the family: Ribonuclease P (RNase P) is a ubiquitous endoribonuclease, found in archaea, bacteria and eukarya as well as chloroplasts and mitochondria. Its best characterised activity is the generation of mature 5'-ends of tRNAs by cleaving the 5'-leader elements of precursor-tRNAs. The record is from RNAcentral.